This 181-nucleotide unclassified non-coding RNA is filed under the name uncultured fungus. RNAcentral describes it as "sequence contains ITS1, 5.8S rRNA gene". Lineage: Eukaryota; Fungi. The record is from RNAcentral.
ACACAUCCAAUACCCAACUUACCAAACCAACCUGUGAACCUAUUACCCUUUUAUUUUUACCCCAUGACACUUUUGACUAACACAAUGUGGUGUGGCGAGCCGAUGCGCAAAGCCCUUGGUCCCCGUGACCCGAGCCAAGCGCCUCACGCUCUCCAUCCAACAAGAUAAUACAAAUUAAGAA